GUCGUCAGCUAAUUGAGAAAUCUUUAAACUGUGUGUUUUAGUAUCUAGCUUAAUUUGAAAACCUUUGAUGUUGUUGUCUUGUCUUAUUCUGCAGGACAAAAUUUCUACAGCAAUAACAAAAAUCAGGGAACUUAACGGGCAGCCUUGUCUAAUACCGCGUUUAAUGUUAUAUGGUGAUGAGACCCACCCAUUGUUUAACAUACAACCCGUUAUGUCUUUGUACAGAGUUUUAACCCAUUUGAUAAAAG
RNAcentral lists this long non-coding RNA (248 nucleotides) under Mytilus galloprovincialis (Mediterranean mussel). Lineage: Eukaryota; Metazoa; Mollusca; Bivalvia; Mytilida; Mytilidae. The record is from RNAcentral.